GAUGAACGCUGGCGGCGUGCCUAAUACAUGCAAGUCGAGCGAACAGACGAGGAGCUUGCUCCUCUGACGUUAGCGGCGGACGGGUAAGUAACACGUGGAUAACCUACCUAUAAGACUGGGAUAACUUCGGGAAACCGGAGCUAAUACCGGAUAAUAUAUUGAACCGCAUGGUUCAAUAGUGAAAGACGGUUUUGCUGUCACUUAUGGAUGGAUCCGCGCCGCAUUAGCUAGUUGGUAAGGUAACGGCUUACCAAGGCAACGAUGCGUAGCCGACCUGAGAGGGUGAUCGGCCACACUGGAACUGAGACACGGUCCAGACUCCUACGGGAGGCAGCAGUAGGGAAUCUUCCGCAAUGGGCGAAAGCCUGACGGAGCAACGCCGCGUGAGUGAUGAAGGUCUUCGGAUCGUAAAACUCUGUUAUUAGGGAAGAACAAAUGUGUAAGUAACUAUGCACGUCUUGACGGUACCUAAUCAGAAAGCCACGGCUAACUACGUG
RNAcentral lists this ribosomal RNA (497 nucleotides) under uncultured bacterium. RNAcentral describes it as "partial 16S ribosomal RNA". It matches the Rfam family "Bacterial small subunit ribosomal RNA", at positions 28 to 507 of the family's 1533-position model. The record is from RNAcentral.